Megalops atlanticus (tarpon) is the source of this 70-nucleotide non-coding RNA. The record is from the annotation of a GenBank genome assembly. NCBI's taxonomy places the organism in Eukaryota, Metazoa, Chordata, Actinopteri, Elopiformes, Megalopidae.
AGCAGUGUGGCUUAGCGGUAAGGCACAGGGCUUGUAACCGAAAGGUUGCUGGUUCGAUUCCCCAAUGGGG